RNAcentral lists this transfer RNA (76 nucleotides) under Chiropterargas confusus. RNAcentral's name for it is "Argas confusus tRNA-Trp". Lineage: Eukaryota; Metazoa; Arthropoda; Arachnida; Ixodida; Argasidae. The record is from RNAcentral.
AAGACUUUAAGUUAAAUUAAACUAUAUACCUUCAAAGUAUAAAAUAAUAAGCCUUAAGGAUCUUCUUUAAACUUGC